Molecule: long non-coding RNA, 1065 nt
Filed under: Salmo salar (Atlantic salmon)
Lineage: Eukaryota; Metazoa; Chordata; Actinopteri; Salmoniformes; Salmonidae
Description: lncRNA (ENSSSAG00000088965.1)
Source: RNAcentral
CGUGUCCGUGGGAACCAGGGCUGUCGUUCAAUGCAAGCUUUUUCGAUCUACGGUGUCCACAGAUCGACGUGUGAGCGACAAUGUCGGUCGGAACAGUUGUCUUGAAAGCACCAUAAAUCCAGAGAAUGCCAUGACUUGGAUGACAAAAUUUGCCCACGAAGGACCGCUGCUCCACCUUCCUGUUUAAGUGAGCACAUCACAACAAGGUGAGUCCAAAAAUGUCCUGUAUGCUGCUGCAUAAAUGAUGUAAUAUGUCAGGGAGAUAUGUAUACUGUAGCUAAGAAAGUAAUACUAAGUGUAUGUUGUGUAGUAAGAUGUUAGUAGCCCAUGUGUCUCACCCUAAUAAUUUGGUAUAUUUACCCCUCUUAAUUGAUUCUACUGUUCUGACUUGGUGGUGCACAUGUAGCCUAUAACCUGUUUUAAAGACAUGUAAUCAUGUCACACCCUGAUCUGUCUUGUGCUUGUCUCCAACCCCACCAGGUUUCUCUCAUUUGUCCCCAUUUAUCCCCAGUGUAUUUAUACCAGUGUUUUGUGUUUGUCUGUUGCCAGUUCGUCUUGUCAAGUCUUACAAGCGUGUUUUUCCCAUUUUCAAGUCUUUCUAGUUGCUGUUUUCUAGUCUUCCCGGUUCUGACCAUUCUGCCUACCCUGACCCUGAGCCUGCAUGCCGUUCUGUACCUCUUUGACUCUGCCCUGGAUUACUGACCUCUGCCUGCCCUCAAUCUGCCCUGGAUUACUGACCUCUGCCUGCCCUCAAUCUGCCCUGCCCCCUUGUAUAAUACAUAUUAUGGGAACUGUACUAUCCAACUCUUGUGUCUGCAUCUGGGUCAUAUCCUGAGUCGUGAUAAAUCAUAGAAUAUUUUAAGAGUUUUCAUUGUCUGCUUUUAUAUGCCCCCUUUAUUUAUCCUACGGUUAUGACUUGGUGUACAGGGAGAACAAUGUAAGAAUGGCCCAUGUUCUGAAUUCUGUCACUGUACAUUUCAAAAGUACUCAACAAAUACAGAAUCAAGGACAGAAUCAUUGAUCUAAAUGUCAAAAUGUAUGUCAAAUUAAAAUGUUCUGAAAAGC